Molecule: ribosomal RNA, 465 nt
Filed under: uncultured bacterium
Lineage: Bacteria
Description: partial 16S ribosomal RNA
Rfam family: Bacterial small subunit ribosomal RNA
Source: RNAcentral
GAUGAACGCUGGCGGCGUGCUUAACACAUGCAAGUCGAACGAUGAAGCCCAGCUUGCUGGGUGGAUUAGUGGCGAACGGGUGGGUAACACGUGAGUAACCUGCCCUUAACUCUGGGAUAAGCCUGGGAAACUGGGUCUAAUACCGGAUAGGAGCGUCCACCGCAUGGUGGGUGUUGGAAAGAUUUAUCGGUUUUGGAUGGACUCGCGGCCUAUCAGCUUGUUGGUGAGGUAAUGGCUCACCAAGGCGACGACGGGUAGCCGGCCUGAGAGGGUGACCGGCCACACUGGGACUGAGACACGGCCCAGACUCCUACGGGAGGCAGCAGUGGGGAAUAUUGCACAAUGGGCGCAAGCCUGAUGCAGCGACGCCGCGUGAGGGAUGACGGCCUUCGGGUUGUAAACCUCUUUCAGUAGGGAAGAAGCGAAAGUGACGGUACCUGCAGAAGAAGCACCGGCUAACUACGU